GGUGAAUGUGUAUCUGGUGCAUGUGUAUCAAUUUCCAUGACUAGAUCCACACUCAUCCA
Molecule: microRNA precursor, 59 nt
Filed under: Triops cancriformis
Lineage: Eukaryota; Metazoa; Arthropoda; Branchiopoda; Notostraca; Triopsidae
Source: RNAcentral